UUAAAAUUAUUACUAUAAUACAUGACAUUAUUUCUAAUAAUUUAAUGAGUAAUUUAAUAAAACUUUAUAUUCUACCUAAUUCAGUAGACUAACAUUCGUAACAUCUGUAUUUUUGGAGAAACGGCGGCAAUAAAAGUUCUAUACUUCUUUAAUGUUCAUCGUAUGUUAUUUCAUAAUGAAUUUAUGCAUUAUAACAAAAAUACCAGUUGGGCCUUAGUUAAAUGAUGGUAUGGAUCCCUCGAAAGGAAAAGAAAAAAAAAAGAGGAAAAAAUAUGAUGCACAUUGUUUAUGUCUUCUCCGUGACCAGCGACUCUUCCUCUUCGCCGUUUUAGUCGUGUGUGUGAUUCGUGUGGGCUUUAGUUAUAUUUGGGCUUUCGAUUAAUUUCUGAGAAUAACAGCUCGCUUAUCAUCUCCGCCUAGAUGAAACGACGUGUUUUCGUUUAGGGUUAAACCUGUGUUCUUCUUCGCCUCUCCAGAGCUCAAACGACAAUGGUGAUUCUGAAAGUCCGAAGAGACGAAUCGUCGUCCAGAGACUCCGAAUUACGCUUCGUUACAGUCGUUUCGAGUUCAUUCCUAUCCUUCCAGACGUUUUGACGCCACAUUCAUCGCCUUUAAGAUACAUCUUAACUCCAUCGAGGCUCAUCAAGGACGAUGCCACAUUCAAUGUUACUUUUAUCUGUUCAAGGAGGUGAUUUCAGACCUAUAAAUAAGCUGGCCAGUGUUCUUCCAUGGUGGAGUCUGAUUGCUGAGAUUCGGGGAGGGUGGGUCGAAAUGUCAAGCGUGGUGGGGAGUUGAUGGGGUUGACAUGCUCCUCCUUGAUGCUGAGGCAACACUUAUUCAAGUGUUCAUUGUCUUCCCACUAGCAAGCGACUGGGUUCUAUGUUUUACUUUGAUUUCACUUGGUGUUAUCAGAACUAUAGGCUCUCCGAGCUGGUCUCGAGAAACACUGGGAACAACCCAGAUCCUUCAUUGCUGGAGGAUAUGCCAAGGUUGAACCACUGAGCAUAUCUGAGCUGAAUGAGUUCGUCAUCACAGCCGAGCCUUAGGAGAUUGAAUUUGUCUGCACUGGAAUGGUGAGUGAAAUCAAGAUGGACAAAGGCUGGUGUUACGUUUCCUGCUCCAGGUGCACAAGAAUCUCCAAAGAACUGUCUCAUUUUUGACUUGCGUGUCCUGCAACAACACAUGCGUUUUUGGAGUGCUCUGGUAUAUUGGAUCAUUUGUUUUUCCCCGUUUUGAAAAUUCUCACAUACAGUCAAAAUGGUUUUCAUACAAUUUAUUACAAGGUACCGGGUGGAGAUGAGCAUUGCUGACGACACAGAUGAGGGUCUAUUUGUGGCUUUCGAUGGAGUACGUAGCAUUAUCUAACGCUGGCAUUGAAGGUUACAAAUGUGUGGAAACCUCAUCUGCAUGAACAUCCUCCAUUGGUCCUGCCACCAAGAAGCCUCGCCUUUCAACAAUUUUGAAUGUGGUCAAGAAGGUAUGAAAGGCUUAAGGGAACAUGACGGAGUUUCUAGAGUCAGUUUUCUUCUUUCAAUAAUGCUUAGCCAUCAAUGUUAUUUUUUUAACUUUGAAUUCUCGAGUCAUAUUUCCUCUUUGAAUAGUGCUUAGGCAUCAAUGUUUUUCUUCUUCUAAUUUUCUCCUCAUCUGGAGUUUGCUAUGUUUUUUCUUAGCUACCGUGAAAAUGGUCUUGAGUUUCAGGCA
Long non-coding RNA from Brassica napus (rape), 1701 nucleotides. RefSeq lists it as uncharacterized. The record is from RefSeq and is a predicted model, not a curated record. NCBI's taxonomy places the organism in Eukaryota, Viridiplantae, Streptophyta, Magnoliopsida, Brassicales, Brassicaceae. The transcript has 5 exons.